UACGUAGGGGGCGAGCGUUAUCCGGAAUUACUGGGUGUAAAGGGAGCGUAGACGGCGAGGUAAGCCUGAAGUGGAAGCCCGCGGCCCAACCGCGGAACUGCUUUGGGAACUGUUUUGCUGGAGUAUGGGAGGGGUAAGCGGAAUUCCUGGUGUAGCGGUGAAAUGCGUAGAUAUCCGGAGGAACACCGGUGGCGAAGGCGGCUUACUGGACCAUAACUGACGUUGAGGCUCGAAAGCGUGGGGAGCGAACAGG
RNAcentral lists this ribosomal RNA (253 nucleotides) under uncultured bacterium. RNAcentral's name for it is "partial 16S ribosomal RNA". It matches the Rfam family "Bacterial small subunit ribosomal RNA", at positions 524 to 776 of the family's 1533-position model. The record is from RNAcentral.